This 540-nucleotide ribosomal RNA is filed under the name uncultured bacterium. Its description in RNAcentral is "bacterial SSU rRNA". It matches the Rfam family "Bacterial small subunit ribosomal RNA", at positions 777 to 1317 of the family's 1533-position model. The record is from RNAcentral.
AAUAGAUACCCUGGUAGUCCGUGCCGUAAACGAUGUCUACUAGCCGUUGGGGCCUUUGAGGCUUUAGUGGCGCAGCUAACGCGAUAAGUAGACCGCCUGGGGAGUACGGUCGCAAGACUAAAACUCAAAUGAAUUGACGGGGGCCCGCACAAGCGGUGGAGCAUGUGGUUUAAUUCGAUGCAACGCGAAGAACCUUACCUGGUCUUGACAUAGUAAGAACUUUCCAGAGAUGGAUUGGUGCCUUCGGGAACUUACAUACAGGUGCUGCAUGGCUGUCGUCAGCUCGUGUCGUGAGAUGUUGGGUUAAGUCCCGCAACGAGCGCAACCCUUUUCCUUAUUUGCCAGCACUUCGGGUGGGAACUUUAAGGAUACUGCCAGUGACAAACUGGAGGAAGGCGGGGACGACGUCAAGUCAUCAUGGCCCUUACGACCAGGGCUACACACGUGCUACAAUGGUCGGUACAAAGGGUUGCUACCUAGCGAUAGGAUGCUAAUCUCAAAAAGCCGAUCGUAGUCCGGAUUGGAGUCUGCAACUCGACU